UUCGGGGAAUCCAGAGACAGGUGCUGCAGUGGCUGUCGUCAGCUCGUGCCGUGAGGUGUUGGGUUAAGUCCCGCAACGAGCGCCAACCCCUAUUCUCAGUUCGCCAUCACGUAAUGGUGGGCACUCUGUGGAGACUGCCCGGGUUAACCGGGAGGAAGGUGGGGAUGACGUCAAGUCAUCAUGGCCCUUACGCCUAGGGCUACACACGUACUACAAUGGUGGGUACAAAGGGCAGCAAAACCGCGAGGUCGAGCGAAUCUCAAAAAACCCAUCAUAGUCCGGAUUGCAGUCUGCAACUCGACUGCAUGAAGUUGGAAUCGCUAGUAAUCCCCGGAUCAGCAUGCCGGGGUGAAUACGUUCCCGGGCCUU
RNAcentral lists this ribosomal RNA (369 nucleotides) under uncultured Desulfomicrobium sp. RNAcentral describes it as "bacterial SSU rRNA". It matches the Rfam family "Bacterial small subunit ribosomal RNA", at positions 1018 to 1382 of the family's 1533-position model. Lineage: Bacteria; Pseudomonadati; Thermodesulfobacteriota; Desulfovibrionia; Desulfovibrionales; Desulfomicrobiaceae. The record is from RNAcentral.